ACCGCAUACGAUCUACGGAUGAAAGUGGGGGAUCGCAAGACCUCAUGCUCGUGGAGCGGCCGAUAUCUGAUUAGCUAGUUGGUAGGGUAAAAGCCUACCAAGGCAUCGAUCAGUAGCUGGCCUGAGAGGACGACCAGCCACACUGGAAGUGAGACACGGUCCAGACUCCUACGGGAGGCAGCAGUGGGGAAUUUUGGACAAUGGGCGAAAGCCUGAUCCAGCAAGGCCGCGUGAGUGAAGGAGGCCUUCGGGUUG
RNAcentral lists this ribosomal RNA (255 nucleotides) under uncultured bacterium. RNAcentral's name for it is "partial 16S ribosomal RNA". It matches the Rfam family "Bacterial small subunit ribosomal RNA", at positions 168 to 425 of the family's 1533-position model. The record is from RNAcentral.